This 253-nucleotide ribosomal RNA is filed under the name uncultured bacterium. RNAcentral's name for it is "partial 16S ribosomal RNA". It matches the Rfam family "Bacterial small subunit ribosomal RNA", at positions 524 to 776 of the family's 1533-position model. The record is from RNAcentral.
UACGUAGGGGGCUAGCGUUGUCCGGAAUCAUUGGGCGUAAAGCGCGCGUAGGCGGUCAGGAAAGUCCGGUGUGAAAGUCAUAGGCUCAACCUAUGGAUGCCGCUGGAAACUGCCUGACUUGAGUCCGGAAGGGGCGAGUGGAAUUCCUGGUGUAGCGGUGAAAUGCGCAGAUAUCAGGAGGAACACCGGUGGCGAAGGCGACUACCUGGCCUGUUCUUGACGCUGAGGCGCGAAAGCUAGGGGAGCAAACGGG